Nothoprocta perdicaria is the source of this 650-nucleotide long non-coding RNA. RefSeq lists it as uncharacterized. The transcript has 2 exons. The record is from RefSeq and is a predicted model, not a curated record. Lineage: Eukaryota; Metazoa; Chordata; Aves; Tinamiformes; Tinamidae.
GCUUCCUACAAAGCUGCCGUCAAGCUUUCUUGGGGGAGGAAAAUAUAUUUCUGCCAGAGAACAGUAGCCAUUGAUAAUGAACAGGGAGCAGCUCAUCGCUGAGCUCUCGACAGUGACGGAUGUGUCUGUGGCRCGAGACAUCUGGAAGGGGUUUUGCAGGAGGCUCUGGCUCUUGCCACACCACCGAUCUCUGGCUGAUGGGAGAGAUGUAGGAGGAGAAAACUGAGGAUCCUAGGGCUGGUUCUUGUCAUGUGUGGCAUAAAGAAAGGAUUUGCUUGAGAUACACAGUAAACGUCCCUGCUCUGAUGUAUUUUGUGUGUGUGCUUGGGAUUCAGCUGGUGACAGUGAAUUUGGUGGCUUCGUGUGCUCAUUCAAUAGUAUGGCCCAGACGGGAGGACUCCAUCGGAACAUCUGUAUGACGGUGGAGCAUGAGAUUCCCAGGAGACAGCACGUCUUCACAAGCAAACACGGAGCUUUUAAUUGACGCUUUCAUUUGUUUUGACAUAAAACCAAGAUUUCURGAAAAAUAAUGUGCAGAGAGAGAGAUUUCCUCAAGUCAAACUCAGUGCUUGGUGGUUUGGGCUCACCUGGGUUGUGGGAAACCUGAGUUUGUGUCUUGGGAUGAACUUGGCCACAGGACGAUGGACUCU